RNAcentral lists this ribosomal RNA (378 nucleotides) under uncultured Prevotella sp. Its description in RNAcentral is "bacterial SSU rRNA". It matches the Rfam family "Bacterial small subunit ribosomal RNA", at positions 355 to 729 of the family's 1533-position model. The record is from RNAcentral. Lineage: Bacteria; Pseudomonadati; Bacteroidota; Bacteroidia; Bacteroidales; Prevotellaceae.
UGAGGAAUAUUGGUCAAUGGGCGAGAGCCUGAACCAGCCAAGUAGCGUGCAGGAUGACGGCCCUAUGGGUUGUAAACUGCUUUUAUAAGGGAAUAAAGUGGGGCUCGUGAGCUCUUUUGCAUGUACCUUAUGAAUAAGGACCGGCUAAUUCCGUGCCAGCAGCCGCGGUAAUACGGAAGGUCCGGGCGUUAUCCGGAUUUAUUGGGUUUAAAGGGAGCGUAGGCCGCAGGUUAAGCGUGUUGUGAAAUGUAGUGGCUCAACCUCUGCACUGCAGCGCGAACUGGUCUUCUUGAGUACGCACAACGUGGGCGGAAUUCGUAGUGUAGCGGUAGAAAUGCUUAGAUAUCACGAAGAACUCCGAUUGCGAAGGCAGCUCGA